This is a long non-coding RNA of Maniola jurtina (meadow brown), 159 nucleotides long. RefSeq lists it as uncharacterized. The record is from RefSeq and is a predicted model, not a curated record. NCBI's taxonomy places the organism in Eukaryota, Metazoa, Arthropoda, Insecta, Lepidoptera, Nymphalidae. The transcript has 3 exons.
AAAAAAAAAGUUAUUGUUUUUUGAUUUUGUUCUCACCAACAACGUUGAUAGUAUUUGAGAGUGGAAACACUUUAGCGUUAAAGCAAAAUAGCUCUUAAUUGCCUUGUUAUAAUGCUCAAGUUCUAAUAUAUUACAGCCAGUGCUCCAAGCGAAAACGUU